UACGAAGGGGGCUAGCGUUGUUCGGAAUUACUGGGCGUAAAGGGCUCGUAGGCGGCCAACUAAGUCAUACGUGAAAUCCCUCAGCUUAACUGGGGAACUGCGUGUGAUACUGGAUGGCUUGGAUUUGGGAGAGGGAUGCGGAAUUCCUGGUGUAGCGGUGAAAUGCGCAGAUAUCAGGAGGAACACCGGUGGCGAAGGCGGGUCUCUGGGCCGAUACUGACGCUGAGGAGCGAAAGCGUGGGGAGCGAACAGG
RNAcentral lists this ribosomal RNA (253 nucleotides) under uncultured bacterium. Its description in RNAcentral is "partial 16S ribosomal RNA". It matches the Rfam family "Bacterial small subunit ribosomal RNA", at positions 524 to 776 of the family's 1533-position model. The record is from RNAcentral.